This 86-nucleotide transfer RNA is filed under the name Blumeria hordei DH14. RNAcentral's name for it is "tRNA-Tyr for anticodon GUA". It matches the Rfam family "tRNA". From Rfam's summary of the family: Transfer RNA (tRNA) molecules are approximately 80 nucleotides in length. The record is from RNAcentral. Lineage: Eukaryota; Fungi; Ascomycota; Leotiomycetes; Helotiales; Erysiphaceae.
CCCUCGGUCGUCUAGUUGGUUUAUGGCGUCCGGCUGUAAAUGACAACGGUACCGGAAUGUCGCGCGUUCGACUCGCGCCUGAGGGA